AGCGAACGCUGGCGGCAGGCUUAACACAUGCAAGUCGAGCGGGCACUUUCGGGUGUCAGCGGCGGACGGGUGAGUAACGCGUGGGAACGUGCCCUCUGGUUCGGAAUAACUCAGGGAAACUUGAGCUAAUACCGGAUACGCCCUUUUGGGGAAAGGUUUGCUUGCGGAGGAUCGGCCCGCGUCUGAUUAUCUAGUUGGUGAGGUAACGGCUCACCAAGGCGACGCUCAGUAGCUGGUCUGAGAGGAUGAUCAGCCACACUGGGACUGAGACACGGCGCAGACUCCUACGGGAGGCAGCAGUGGGGAAUAUUGGACACUGCGCGAAUGCCUGAUCCAGCCGUGCCGCGUGAGUGAUGAAGGACUUAGGGUUGUAAAGCUCUUUUAUCAGGGACGAUAAUGACGGUACCGGAGGAAUAAGCCCCGGCUAACUUCGUG
Molecule: ribosomal RNA, 435 nt
Filed under: uncultured bacterium
Lineage: Bacteria
Description: partial 16S ribosomal RNA
Rfam family: Bacterial small subunit ribosomal RNA
Source: RNAcentral